Zea mays is the source of this 152-nucleotide non-coding RNA. RefSeq annotates it as microRNA MIR156a. The record is from RefSeq and is marked provisional. NCBI's taxonomy places the organism in Eukaryota, Viridiplantae, Streptophyta, Magnoliopsida, Poales, Poaceae. The transcript has a single exon.
UUCGUUCCGUGGCUAACUGACAGAAGAGAGUGAGCACACAGCGGGCAGACUGCAUCGAUCGAUCUGCAUCCGAGACGGCGCACGUACGAAUGAUGAUGCAGCUGCUGCUGCGUGCUCACUUCUCUCUCUGUCAGUCCUCUAGCUGCUACGGC